GAUGAACGCUGGCGGCGUGCCUAAUACAUGCAAGUCGAGCGAACGGACGAGAAGCUUGCUUCUCUGAUGUUAGCGGCGGACGGGUGAGUAACACGUGGAUAACCUACCUAUAAGACUGGGAUAACUUCGGGAAACCGGAGCUAAUACCGGAUAAUAUUUUGAACCGCAUGGUUCAAAAGUGAAAGACGGUCUUGCUGUCACUUAUAGAUGGAUCCGCGCUGCAUUAGCUAGUUGGUAAGGUAACGGCUUACCAAGGCAACGAUGCAUAGCCGACCUGAGAGGGUGAUCGGCCACACUGGAACUGAGACACGGUCCAGACUCCUACGGGAGGCAGCAGUAGGGAAUCUUCCGCAAUGGGCGAAAGCCUGACGGAGCAACGCCGCGUGAGUGAUGAAGGUCUUCGGAUCGUAAAACUCUGUUAUUAGGGAAGAACAUAUGUGUAAGUAACUGUGCACAUCUUGACGGUACCUAAUCAGAAAGCCACGGCUAACUACGUGCCAGCAGCCGCGGUAAUACGUAGGUGGCAAGCGUUAUCCGGAAUUAUUGGGCGUAAAGCGCGCGUAGGCGGUUUUUUAAGUCUGAUGUGAAAGCCCACGGCUCAACCGUGGAGGGUCAUUGGAAACUGGAAAACUUGAGUGCAGAAGAGGAAAGUGGAAUUCCAUGUGUAGCGGUGAAAUGCGCAGAGAUAUGGAGGAACACCAGUGGCGAAGGCGACUUUCUGGUCUGUAACUGACGCUGAUGUGCGAAAGCGUGGGGAUCAAACAGGAUUAGAUACCCUGGUAGUCCACGCCGUAAACGAUGAGUGCUAAGUGUUAGGGGGUUUCCGCCCCUCAGUGCUGCAGCUAACGCAUUAAGCACUCCGCCUGGGGAGUACGACCGCAAGGUUGAAACUCAAAGGAAUUGACGGGGACCCGCACAAGCGGUGGAGCAUGUGGUUUAAUUCGAAGCAACGCGAAGAACCUUACCAAAUCUUGACAUCCUUUGACAACUCUAGAGAUAGAGCCUUCCCCUUCGGGGGACAAAGUGACAGGUGGUGCAUGGUUGUCGUCAGCUCGUGUCGUGAGAUGUUGGGUUAAGUCCCGCAACGAGCGCAACCCUUAAGCUUAGUUGCCAUCAUUAAGUUGGGCACUCUAAGUUGACUGCCGGUGACAAACCGGAGGAAGGUGGGGAUGACGUCAAAUCAUCAUGCCCCUUAUGAUUUGGGCUACACACGUGCUACAAUGGACAAUACAAAGGGCAGCGAAACCGCGAGGUCAAGCAAAUCCCAUAAAGUUGUUCUCAGUUCGGAUUGUAGUCUGCAACUCGACUACAUGAAGCUGGAAUCGCUAGUAAUCGUAGAUCAGCAUGCUACGGUGAAUACGUUCCCGGGUCU
Molecule: ribosomal RNA, 1372 nt
Filed under: uncultured bacterium
Lineage: Bacteria
Description: bacterial SSU rRNA
Rfam family: Bacterial small subunit ribosomal RNA
Source: RNAcentral